UUACGGCCAUAACACGUUGAAACACUGCUUCCCGUACGAUCACCAAAGUUAAGAAACCUCAAACUUCGUCAGUACCUAGAUGGAUGACCGCUUGGGAAUACAAAAUAUUGU
Non-coding RNA from Acanthosepion pharaonis, 111 nucleotides. NCBI's taxonomy places the organism in Eukaryota, Metazoa, Mollusca, Cephalopoda, Sepiida, Sepiidae. The record is from the annotation of a GenBank genome assembly.